RNAcentral lists this non-coding RNA (88 nucleotides) under Burkholderia gladioli. RNAcentral describes it as "SAH sequence". The stretch from base 1 to 69 matches the Rfam family "SAH (S-adenosyl-L-homocysteine) riboswitch aptamer". Lineage: Bacteria; Pseudomonadati; Pseudomonadota; Betaproteobacteria; Burkholderiales; Burkholderiaceae. The record is from RNAcentral.
GUUUCCAAGGAGCGUUGCGACAGGCAUCGGCCUGCCAGGCUUGGAAAUCUUCACCGCGCGGCAUUCGCCCCGCCGGCGCCGGGUCUGC